GCCCCCCUCUAUGACCCUGAGGCCAAGCAGUUGAGGCCUGCGUGCGCCCAGGCGCUGACGCGCAUCUUCAGGCUCUCAGAUCAGGACCUGGACCAGGCGCUCAGUGACGAAGAGCUCAACGCUUUCCAGAAAUCCUGCUUUGGGCACCCCCUGGCCCCGCAGGCCCUGGAGGACGUGAAGACGGUGGUGUGCAGGAACGUGGCGGGCGGCGUGCGGGAGGACCGGCUGACCCUGGAUGGUGAGGCCGGGUGCCCGCCUGUGCCUGGGGAGUGUGGGGAGGGGGCUGUGCCUGGUGCUCCCCCUGCUCUGUCUCGGUGCAGGUUUCCUCUUCCUGAACACGCUCUUCAUCCAGCGCGGCCGGCACGAGACCACCUGGACCAUCCUGCGGCGCUUCGGCUACAGCGACGCCCUGGAGCUGACUGCGGACUAUCUCUCCCCUCCGUGAGUGAUGCCGGGGCUUGAGGCCUGCCCUCCCCG
Molecule: small RNA, 477 nt
Filed under: Pan troglodytes (chimpanzee)
Lineage: Eukaryota; Metazoa; Chordata; Mammalia; Primates; Hominidae
Description: retained intron
Source: RNAcentral